CAGUCGCCGCGGUAAUACGGAGGGUGCAAGCGUUAAUCGGAUUUACUGGGCGUAAAGCGUGCGUAGGCUGCUUUUUAAGUCGGAUGUGAAAUCCCUGAGCUUAACUUAGGAAUUGCAUUCGAUACUGGGAAGCUAGAGUAUGGGAGAGGAUGGUAGAAUUCCAGGUGUAGCGGUGAAAUGCGUAGAGAUCUGGAGGAAUACCGAUGGCGAAGGCAGCCAUCUGGCCUAAUACUGACGCUGAGGUACGAAAGCAUGGGGAGCAAACAGGAUUAGAUACCCCCGUAGUCCCUGUCUCUUAUAA
RNAcentral lists this ribosomal RNA (301 nucleotides) under uncultured bacterium. Its description in RNAcentral is "partial 16S ribosomal RNA". It matches the Rfam family "Bacterial small subunit ribosomal RNA", at positions 509 to 809 of the family's 1533-position model. The record is from RNAcentral.